CCUACGGGAGGCAGCAGUGAGGAAUAUUGGGCAAUGGCCGCAAGGCUGAACCAGCCAUGUCGCGUGAGUGAAGACGGCCCUAGGAUUGUUAAGCCUCUUUGGCCGUGACGCUGAUAACGGUAGCGGUCACAGACGCACCGUCCAACUUUGGGCCAGAAGCCGUAGUUACACGACGGGAGCGAGCGUUUUUCGGAAUUACUGGGCGUAAAGGGAUUGUAGGCGGGUAUGGAGGGUAGCGGGGAAAUGCCCGGGCUCAACCCUGGAACUGCCAUUAUGACUAUGUAUCUAGAGUAAUGGAGAUGAAAGCGGAAUACGCAGGGUAGAGGUGAAAUUCGUAGAUAUAGGGUAGAACACCGAUGGCGAAGGCAGCGAACUGGCCAUUUACUGACGCUGAGGCUCGAAAGCAUGGGUAUCGAACAGGAUUAGAUACCCCGGUAGUC
This 440-nucleotide ribosomal RNA is filed under the name uncultured bacterium. RNAcentral's name for it is "partial 16S ribosomal RNA". It matches the Rfam family "Bacterial small subunit ribosomal RNA", at positions 338 to 795 of the family's 1533-position model. The record is from RNAcentral.